RNAcentral lists this transfer RNA (71 nucleotides) under Scleropages formosus (Asian bonytongue). Its description in RNAcentral is "tRNA-Leu". It matches the Rfam family "tRNA". Rfam says of the family: Transfer RNA (tRNA) molecules are approximately 80 nucleotides in length. Their secondary structure includes four short double-helical elements and three loops (D, anti-codon, and T loops). Lineage: Eukaryota; Metazoa; Chordata; Actinopteri; Osteoglossiformes; Osteoglossidae. The record is from RNAcentral.
GUCAGGAUGGCCGAGUGGUCUAAGGCGCCAGACUCAAGAUGGAGGCGUGGGUUCAAAUCCCACUUCUGACA